GGGAGCUUCUGCGCAUGCCUGACUAGAAGAAAGUCGAGCUUUGGGGUCUCUCCCGGCUAGAUCAAAGAAAAACCCAGAUAAUUGGAGAAAAUACUGAUUAUUCACAGUGGAAUUUAUACAGUUUGAAGAAUAAACAGAUUCCGGACAGCUGUGAAGUUCAGAAAAGCUGGUUUUGGAUGAAAGCCCAGAACCGAGAUGAUAAGACGAGCCAAGAAUAUAUAACAUUAUGUGAAUGUUAAAAGAAAUAUGGUGAAAUGAAGUUAUUGUAACUUGACUUUAAAGGAAAAAAAUAUAUAUCUGGGUAUAAUAUAGCAUACUUAUUAAAAUUAAAAGCCGGGGAGAAGGACAAGCGGCCGCAGAAGACACAAAACCUCCAACAUGGGAAGGGAAGAGAUUCCCUUAUUUACCGGAUGGAGAAGUGGGGAAGGGAGGGGGAAAAAGGGAAAUGGGAAGGGGAAUGAUUUGAAAAAUAAAAUAAAGAUGCAAGCAGGGGAACAGGGAUUACAUGGGAAAAAAUAUGGUGGGAAAUAAAAUGAAAAUAAUUUCAAUGAAUGUUAAUGGGUUAAAUUCAGGCUUUAAGAGAUAUAAAGUAGCUAGAUUUAUAAAGAAUGAACAACCAGACUUGAUCUGUCUUCAAGAAACACACAAAAAAAGGGCAGAUAGAAAUGUUUUGAUAAACAUUCCAGGCUGGAAAGUUGUUGGGGAAGCACGAGCCACAGUGAAAAAGAAUGGGUUAGCUAUUUUAGUAAAAGAAUCUUUUGACUUUAAGUUACAAGAAAUGACCACUGACACAGAUGGGAGAAUGAUGAUAAUAAAAGCGAAGAUUCAAGGUAAUCAAGUAACAUUGUUGAAUGUAUAUGCACCUAAUAGGAAACAGAAAAAAUAUUUAGAAAAACAAUUUAAAAAACUUCAGAGGAUUUUUUGGGGAGACACAUUGAUAAUGGGAGAUUGUAACAUGGACCUUAGAGACCAUCUGAUGCUGAAAAAAUGGAACAUAGUAGAUAGCUAUAAGGAAUUGAAUAAAUCAUCCCAGCCGACUUAUUUCUCUAACAGACAUAAAAAAUACACAUAUAUAGAUUAUGUAAUGUUAAAGAACAUAAACAACCUACAUCUUAUAGACAUAGAAACACAUAAAGAAUGGAUUUCAGAUCACGCGCCGCUGGUGGCUAGAUUCAGAGUGGAAGGUGAAGGAAAACAAUAUAAAUGGAGAUAUAACAAUAUGAUUUGGAAGGGGGAGAAAUAAAAAAAGAGUUAUUAGAUAAGAUAAAACUCUAUUUCCUAGAAAAUAAACAGUAACAGAAAAUAUUCUCUGGGAUGCCUCGAAGGCUGUAGUGAGAGGUUAUUGCCUGGCUAGAGAGGCUAGAUGGAAAAAGGAAAUAAACAAAGAAAGAACAAAAAUAGUAGAAGAGUUAAAACAAAAUAGAUUUAAGCUCCAUGCUAAAUAUGAUGUAAGAAUAAAGAAUGAAAUAAGACAAUUACAAAAUAAGCUAGAUGAAAUAGAGAAGAUGGAACUAUGGAAAAAAGAGAUAUGGGUUAAAAACCAGUUUCAAAGGAAUAAUAUACACUCAGUUAGAAGGUUAGCAAAUUAUUUGAAGAAAAGAAAGGAGAAACAAAGGGUUAGAAAGUUAAAAGAUGAUA
Long non-coding RNA from Sphaerodactylus townsendi, 1638 nucleotides. RefSeq lists it as uncharacterized. The record is from RefSeq and is a predicted model, not a curated record. The transcript has 2 exons. Lineage: Eukaryota; Metazoa; Chordata; Lepidosauria; Squamata; Sphaerodactylidae.